Molecule: ribosomal RNA, 253 nt
Filed under: uncultured bacterium
Lineage: Bacteria
Description: partial 16S ribosomal RNA
Rfam family: Bacterial small subunit ribosomal RNA
Source: RNAcentral
UACGAAGGGAGCUAGCGUUGUUCGGAAUUACUGGGCGUAAAGCGCGCGCAGGCGGUUUUCCAAGUCAGUGGUGAAAGCCCGGAGCUCAACUCCGGAACUGCCAUUGAAACUGUUAAACUUGAGGACGAGAGAGGUGAGUGGAAUUCCCAGUGUAGAGGUGAAAUUCGUAGAUAUUGGGAAGAACACCGGUGGCGAAGGCGGCUCACUGGCUCGUUUCUGACGCUCAGGCGCGACAGCGUGGGGAUCAAACAGG